UCUUAUGUACAUCCCUACAACAUAGAGUUAAUGCACUGGAUCCCAUUAGAACUAUGCAGUUAAGCACGCUCGGGCUAGAGUAGUACUCGGAUGGGUUACCAUUUGGGAAGUCUUAUUGUUUAACAU
Picea glauca (white spruce) is the source of this 126-nucleotide non-coding RNA. Lineage: Eukaryota; Viridiplantae; Streptophyta; Pinopsida; Pinales; Pinaceae. The record is from Rfam.